This 240-nucleotide unclassified non-coding RNA is filed under the name soil metagenome. Its description in RNAcentral is "partial contains 5.8S ribosomal RNA, internal transcribed spacer 2, and large subunit ribosomal RNA". The record is from RNAcentral.
AACGCACGAGACCUGCGGACCUGCGGAGGGAUCAUUAACAAAUUUGUUGAGUAUGUACAAUUGUGAACAGGCCAGAGUUUGUAUCUGAAGAAGCAUUUGUGUUGCUGAAUAUUUGUGUAGCAGAUAAGCAAUUAUUUGUGUAGCUAAAGAAGCAGAUGAGCAAUUAUUUGUCUAGCUAAAUAAGCAAUUAUUUGUGUAGCUAAAUAUUUGUCUAGCUGAAUAAGCAAAUUCACUACAAAA